Molecule: ribosomal RNA, 253 nt
Filed under: uncultured bacterium
Lineage: Bacteria
Description: partial 16S ribosomal RNA
Rfam family: Bacterial small subunit ribosomal RNA
Source: RNAcentral
UACGUAGGGGGCAAGCGUUGUCCGGAUUUACUGGGCGUAAAGAGCGUGUAGGCGGCCAAACGGGUCCGUUGUGAAAACUGGAGGCUUAACCUCCAGACGUCGACGGAAACCGUGUGGCUAGAGUCCGGAAGAGGAGAGUGGAAUUCCUGGUGUAGCGGUGAAAUGCGCAGAUAUCAGGAAGAACACCAAUGGCGAAGGCAGCUCUCUGGGACGGUACUGACGCUGAGACGCGAAAGCGUGGGGAGCGAACAGG